This 204-nucleotide long non-coding RNA is filed under the name Elaeis guineensis (African oil palm). RNAcentral describes it as "long non-coding RNA (EGUI_LNC051860)". The record is from RNAcentral. Lineage: Eukaryota; Viridiplantae; Streptophyta; Magnoliopsida; Arecales; Arecaceae.
AGCUUCAUGCUCCCAGCAUCCUAAACCAGAAAGCCAUGCAUGCCCCUUCCAAUUUCCAGCGCCCAUGUCCACAUCUCUUCCUCCACGUACCCACAAGUCAGCUUUUCCAAAAUAAAAUCCUUCUUUUGUUGUAAUACGGCAUAAGUCCUUCAGGCCCACUUGCUUUUGCGCAUUCACGUUUGUGCCUAUUUAAACCCAGCUCCC